AUUGAACGCUGGCGGCAGGCCUAACACAUGCAAGUCGAACGGUAACAGGAAGAAGCUUGCUUCUUUGCUGACGAGUGGCGGACGGGUGAGUAAUGUCUGGGAAACUGCCUGAUGGAGGGGGAUAACUACUGGAAACGGUAGCUAAUACCGCAUAACGUCGCAAGACCAAAGAGGGGGACCUUCGGGCCUCUUGCCAUCGGAUGUGCCCAGAUGGGAUUAGCUAGUAGGUGGGGUAACGGCUCACCUAGGCGACGAUCCCUAGCUGGUCUGAGAGGAUGACCAGCCACACUGGAACUGAGACACGGUCCAGACUCCGACGGGAGGCAGCAGUGGGGAAUAUUGCACAAUGGGCGCAAGCCUGAUGCAGCCAUGCCGCGUGUAUGAAGAAGGCCUUCGGGUUGUAAAGUACUUUCAGCGGGGAGGAAGGGAGUAAAGUUAAUACCUGUGCUCAUUGACGUUACCCGCAGAAGAAGCACCGGCGAACUCCGU
Molecule: ribosomal RNA, 489 nt
Filed under: uncultured bacterium
Lineage: Bacteria
Description: partial 16S ribosomal RNA
Rfam family: Bacterial small subunit ribosomal RNA
Source: RNAcentral